GACGAACGCUGGCGGCGUGCUUAACACAUGCAAGUCGAACGGAAAGGCCCUGCUUUUGUGGGGUGCUCGAGUGGCGAACGGGUGAGUAACACGUGAGUAACCUGCCCUUGACUUUGGGAUAACUUCAGGAAACUGGGGCUAAUACCGGAUAGGAGCUCCUGCUGCAUGGUGGGGGUUGGAAAGUUUCGGCGGUUGGGGAUGGACUCGCGGCUUAUCAGCUUGUUGGUGGGGUAGUGGCUUACCAAGGCUUAGACGGGUAGCCGGCCUGAGAGGGUGACCGGCCACAUUGGGACUGAGAUACGGCCCAGACUCCUACGGGAGGCAGCAGUGGGGAAUAUUACACAAUGGGCGGAAGCCUGAUGCAGCAACGCCGCGUGCGGGAUGACGGCCUUCGGGUUGUAAACCGCUUUCGCCUGUGACGAAGCGUGAGUGACGGCAAUGGGUAAAGAAGCACCGGCUAACUACGUG
RNAcentral lists this ribosomal RNA (468 nucleotides) under uncultured bacterium. RNAcentral's name for it is "partial 16S ribosomal RNA". It matches the Rfam family "Bacterial small subunit ribosomal RNA", at positions 28 to 507 of the family's 1533-position model. The record is from RNAcentral.